RNAcentral lists this ribosomal RNA (253 nucleotides) under uncultured bacterium. Its description in RNAcentral is "partial 16S ribosomal RNA". It matches the Rfam family "Bacterial small subunit ribosomal RNA", at positions 524 to 776 of the family's 1533-position model. The record is from RNAcentral.
UACGUAGGGGGCAAGCGUUGUCCGGAAUCAUUGGGCGUAAAGCGCGUGUAGGCGGCUAGGUAAGUCUGCUCUGAAAGCCCGGGGCUCAACCCCGGGAGGCGGGUGGAUACUGUCUAGCUCGAGUCCGGAAGAGGAGUGUGGAAUUCCUGGUGUAGCGGUGAAAUGCGCAGAUAUCGAGAGGAACACCAGUGGCGAAGGCGAGUCUCUGGACGACUCCUGACACUGAGGCACGAAAGCUAGGGGAGCAAACAGG